This 372-nucleotide ribosomal RNA is filed under the name uncultured organism. RNAcentral describes it as "partial 16S ribosomal RNA". It matches the Rfam family "Bacterial small subunit ribosomal RNA", at positions 527 to 896 of the family's 1533-position model. The record is from RNAcentral.
GUAGGUGGCAAGCGUUGUCCGGAAUUAUGGGCGUAAAGCGCGCGCAGGCGGUUCUUUAAGUCUGAUGUGAAAGCCCACGGCUCAACCGUGGAGGGUCAUUGGAAACUGGAGAACUUGAGUACAGAAGAGGAAAGCGGAAUUCCACGUGUAGCGGUGAAAUGCGUAGAGAUGUGGAGGAACACCAGUGGCGAAGGCGGCUUUCUGGUCUGUAACUGACGCUGAGGCGCGAAAGCGUGGGGAGCAAACAGGGAUUAGAUACCCUGGUAGUCCACGCCGUAAACGAUGAGUGCUAAGUGUUAGGGGGUUUCCGCCCCCUUAGUGCUGCAGCUAACGCAUUAAGCACUCCGCCUGGGGAGUACGGCCGCAAGGCUG